This is a long non-coding RNA of Homo sapiens (human), 789 nucleotides long. Ensembl annotates it as long intergenic non-protein coding RNA, p53 induced transcript. Its record names the gene LINC-PINT. The record is from Ensembl. NCBI's taxonomy places the organism in Eukaryota, Metazoa, Chordata, Mammalia, Primates, Hominidae.
AAUCUACGUGCGCAUCAUUUUCACCUCGCGUCGCGCCCGGGAGGAAGGAACGAGGCAAGGAGCUAAAGCAGCGUGCGUUCAGCCCUGGGGCAUUUUAUUAAUGCUUUUACGAGUUAGAAGAGUUGGGAUAAUUUGCCAUCUGGAGUUUCUCUGCCUUGCUGAUCUGAGCUCAGACCUGCCAAUUUACCAGAGAUAAUUGAUAACACCCUGUAACAGCUGAGGGCCGCUCUGAAGGUGAACGUGAAACUGUGGGCACUGAGUGAGCUCUCAAGAGUUUUCUUUUUCCUCUAUCUUCUUCCCAGGUUAUGAACUCCAGGCUUAUUGUGGGGAUAGAGGAAAAUGGAAGAAACGGAGAUACUUUUAGUGAAGCAGAAUAAACCACUGAACAGAUGGAGUCUCACUCUGUUGCCCAGACUGGAAUGCAGUGGUGUGAUCUCAACUGACUGCAACCUCCGUAUCCUGGGUUCAAGCAACUCUCCUGCUGCAGCCACGAAAAAUGAGGAAGCUGUGAGUACCAGUGGAAGGAACGAGCCAGGAAGAGGGACUGGAACCAUCUCAGAAGCCAUGCCCCUCAGGCUGGAACUUGCCCUGUCUCCUCGCAGAUGAGCUACCUCUUGUGUUUAAGAAUUAAAGGAAGAUGAGCUAGGAAUCAAGAAAUACGCAGAACUGAUUCCUGUCACUGGCGCCACCCUGCCACUUGCCCAGAGCUGUGGUAUAAAUUUUUUUAAUAGGCUGAAAUAAAAAUAUGAAUAGCAUUUUGGUAUUAAGCAUUAAAUUGAUAAAGGCUAU